UAGUUCAGUGGUUAAGAACACUGGCUCUUUUUCCAGAGGACCUGGGUUUGAUUCCCAG
Molecule: transfer RNA, 58 nt
Filed under: Mus musculus (house mouse)
Lineage: Eukaryota; Metazoa; Chordata; Mammalia; Rodentia; Muridae
Rfam family: tRNA
About the family: Transfer RNA (tRNA) molecules are approximately 80 nucleotides in length. Their secondary structure includes four short double-helical elements and three loops (D, anti-codon, and T loops). Further hydrogen bonds mediate the characteristic L-shaped molecular structure. tRNAs have two regions of fundamental functional importance: the anti-codon, which is responsible for specific mRNA codon recognition, and the 3' end, to which the tRNAs corresponding amino acid is attached (by aminoacyl-tRNA synthetases). tRNAs cope with the degeneracy of the genetic code in two manners: having more than one tRNA (with a specific anti-codon) for a particular amino acid; and 'wobble' base-pairing, i.e. permitting non-standard base-pairing at the 3rd anti-codon position.
Source: Rfam by way of RNAcentral